Molecule: ribosomal RNA, 222 nt
Filed under: uncultured Glomeromycotina
Lineage: Eukaryota; Fungi; Glomeromycota
Description: partial 18S ribosomal RNA
Rfam family: Eukaryotic small subunit ribosomal RNA
Source: RNAcentral
AGAUCAAUUAAUUGGUCGUGCCUCUGGUACGUACUGAUUUUAUUGGUUUCUCCCUUCUGACGAACCAUGAUGUCAUUAAUUUGGUGUCGUGGAGAAUCAGGACUGGUUUUACUUUGAAAAAAUUAGAGUGUUUAAAGCAAGCUAACGCUUGAAUACAUUAGCAUGGAAUAAUGAAAUAGGACGUUUGAUCCUAUUUUGUUGGUUUCUAGGAUCGACGUAAUG